RNAcentral lists this ribosomal RNA (491 nucleotides) under uncultured bacterium. RNAcentral describes it as "partial 16S ribosomal RNA". It matches the Rfam family "Bacterial small subunit ribosomal RNA", at positions 28 to 507 of the family's 1533-position model. The record is from RNAcentral.
GAUGAACGCUAGCUACAGGCUUAACACAUGCAAGUCGCGGGGCAGCAUGGGGGUUGCUUGCAACCCCUGAUGGCGACCGGCGCACGGGUGAGUAACGCGUAUCCAACCUGCCCUUCACCACGGGAUAACCCGGCGAAAGUCGGACUAAUACCGUAUGUUGUCCAUUGACGGCAUCCGAUUUGGACGAAAGGCUUGGGGGGGAACGGGUGGGGAUGCGUUCGAUUAGCUUGACGGGGGGGUAACGGCCCACCGUGGCUACGAUCGGUAGGGGUUCUGAGAGGAAGGUCCCCCACACUGGAACUGAGACACGGUCCAGACUCCUACGGGAGGCAGCAGUGAGGAAUAUUGGUCAAUGGGCGUAAGCCUGAACCAGCCAAGUAGCGUGCAGGAUGACGGCCCUAUGGGUUGUAAACUGCUUUUAUGCGGGGAUAAAGUGGCCCACGUGUGGGCUUUUGCAGGUACCGCAUGAAUAAGAACCGGCUAAUUCCGUG